GAGUUUGAUCUUGGCUCAGAUUGAACGCUGGCGGCAUGCCUUACACAUGCAAGUCGAACGGCAGCACGGGAGCUUGCUCCUGGUGGCGAGUGGCGAACGGGUGAGUAAUGCAUCGGAACGUAUCCUGGAGUGGGGGAUAACGUAGCGAAAGUUACGCUAAUACCGCAUAUUCUGUGAGCAGGAAAGCGGGGGACCUUCGGGCCUCGCGCUCUUGGAGCGGCCGAUGUCGGAUUAGCUAGUUGGUGAGGUAAAGGCUCACCAAGGCGACGAUCCGUAGCAGGUCUGAGAGGAUGAUCUGCCACACUGGAACUGAGACACGGUCCAGACUCCUACGGGAGGCAGCAGUGGGAAUUUGGACAAUGGGGGCAACCCUGAUCCAGCCAUGCCGCGUGAGUGAAGAAGGCCUCGG
RNAcentral lists this ribosomal RNA (409 nucleotides) under bacterium enrichment culture clone ALO1_GLFRUDD03HCU7T. RNAcentral's name for it is "bacterial SSU rRNA". It matches the Rfam family "Bacterial small subunit ribosomal RNA", at positions 9 to 420 of the family's 1533-position model. The record is from RNAcentral.